GACGCCAGCACGUUAUUGUAGAAAACAAACAAAAAGGAAGAAAGCUGGAACGCUAACGAUUCGACCUCUGACAUCGCGGCAAAAUUGUUGUUCAAAUGGCCAAGCUGCCUAUUUAAUUAACCCAUUCGAAGUAUCUUAUCAAUUUUACAACAGUUUCAUUACUAUGGACGACGCAAUAACUUUUAGAAUGAGUGCAUUCUCAGAGCGUGGAGGUAGGAGAUACAUGGAGGAUCUGUUCGAGAUUAAAGUGGAGUACGAGCCGAUUCCAACGAUGGAGGAUAAUCUUCCAGAUUCGCCGACACCGGAAAAUGGAGAUUCUGAAGUCGAUUUUACUGAGCGGACUCAAAACAGUGAAACCGACAACGCACAAACCGAUGGCCCCGUGACUGCAAUGUGGACAGAAACCAUAGAUAAAGAAGAGGGCGGUCAAUCCGUGGCCGAAGGCAGAGUGUCACCAUCCUUUCAGGAACAUGGACAGCACACUGUUGACACUCGGAAGUCGGUUGCGUUUUUCGCUAUAUUUGAUGGACAUGGAGGUGGGGAAGCCGCAAAUUUUGCGCAAAAUAAUCUGUGGAAUAUUCUAAAGAGACAACGGAGUUUUUGGUCCAAAGACCAUGAAGAAGUGUGUGCAGCCCUCCGCAAGGGCUUUAUCGCUUGUCAUCAUGCGAUGUGGAAAAAGCUACCUGAGUGGCCGAAGACCAUCACCGGUUUACCCAGUACGUCAGGCACAACAGCGAGCGUCGUCGUGAUCCGGGGCAGGCAAAUGUAUGUGGCCCAUGUAGGGGAUUCAGCGGUGGUGAUCGGAGAGAAAGAAAAUCCUAAAAUGCCCAUGGAGGCAUUGGAAGUCACACAAGACCACAAACCUGAACUCCCCAAAGAAAGAGAGAGGAUAGAGCGACUUGGUGGCAGUGUAGUUAAGAAGUCUGGGGUGAACCGUGUGGUGUGGAAGAGACCCAGACUGACCCACAAUGGGCCAGUAAGGAGAAGCACAGUCAUCGACCAGAUCCCCUUCCUGGCUGUGGCUCGAGCCUUGGGGGAUCUGUGGAGCUACGAUUUCUACAGCGGGGAGUUCGUAGUGUCACCGGAGCCUGACACCGCGGUGUUGACCCUCGACCCUAAGCGCCACCGCUACGUCAUCCUGGGCAGUGACGGCCUGUGGAACAUGGUGCCCCCCAGGGAGGCUGUGCGCAUGUGUCAGAGCCACGACGAGAUGGUGGGUCCUAAAGGGAUGUCCUGCGCCACUCGGCUGGGAUGCACGGCCCUUCUGUUUUGGAAACAGCGCAUGCUGCGUGCCGACAACACCACCGUCAUCGUGCUGGCUCUGCAGGAGCCGGGCGGGGAAGAUCUCCCCAUGCACAACAACGAGAUCAUAGUGGACAUGGACAAGGGGCUGGAUCACGUGCCCUUCCCUGGACCUCCCUACCACACCUGCACUGUGCUGAAGCCGGAGGCCAUGUUUUGUGAAGAGGAUGAUGUUAUUGAAGAGGAGGAUUGGACUUGCAUGGAGUGGUAGUGAGGUGACUGCCCAGUCCGUGACUGAUCCUAUAUCGAACACACCCGUAUGAUUGACAUCUGUACACCAAAUCGACAGAAACCGUUGAAAAUUUUAAGGAGUCCCCGGAUGUGAAAGUGUCCUCCUCCUACAGUGUGUCGGUGGGGGUGGUGGAGUGGAGCGGCAGCCAUUUUGGCUCUUUCCUCUGCCCCCAAUCGGAGGCUCAGCCGGAGACAGUCUCACAGGAAGCUGCUCCGGCGCCACCAGGCGGAGCCUUGAACAGCCGCGACAACGCCAGGACACAGGCUCCUGGUGGCGCUCCCCCCUCCUCCAACCGGCCUCGCCGUGGCCUCCCUCGCUCCCCGUUCAACCCCUCCACCCCCUGGACACUUGGGCGGAGCUGCAGACCGCCCCCACGCAGGCGUCCGGCCCCCAGGCCUCCUCGCCAGCGGCUCCCUGGGAGGAGGAGACGGAAGGGGCAGAAGCUUCUCCCCAGCGCCCCCGAGGUCCAGCCACAGCACCGCAAGGCAGCCUUCUGGGUCUGCUGAAGAGGGCUCCUCAGAGUGGCUCAGCCCCAGGUCAUCACUGCAUGGAAGAACGCUUUUUGGGCAGUGUAUACGUUGUGAUCGGGUGUCAAAUGUGCCACAGUUACGUUUUUCACAGUAUAUUGAGUGUUUGUGUUUCCUAGUCGAGCCAGGGGGGAUGAUCUUGUGAUUUUUGUGAAGAUUAUGAGAACGGUGUGUUUUAAUAUGCUUUAAUUUAUCCCCUUAUUUUAGUGUUUAGUUUUUUUUUAUGAACCCAAGGCUCUUAACUGCUAUUGUGGAUGUUUGACGUGGUGUUUGUCAUAUUGAUGUAGUUCUCUUUCAAAAUCUUUUUGUCCUCUUUGUGAAUGGAAAAAAGAUUAUUUAUUGAAAUGCACAAUAUAUUUUUGCAUAUGAAAUGUACACUGUAUAUUCCAAAGACAAUGUAUGCAUUUUU
Osmerus eperlanus (European smelt) is the source of this 2470-nucleotide RNA transcript. It is a transcript of the gene named protein phosphatase 1D-like, with no coding region annotated. NCBI's taxonomy places the organism in Eukaryota, Metazoa, Chordata, Actinopteri, Osmeriformes, Osmeridae. The record is from RefSeq and is a predicted model, not a curated record. The transcript has 7 exons.